Long non-coding RNA from Glycine soja, 708 nucleotides. RefSeq lists it as uncharacterized. Lineage: Eukaryota; Viridiplantae; Streptophyta; Magnoliopsida; Fabales; Fabaceae. The record is from RefSeq and is a predicted model, not a curated record. The transcript has 2 exons.
CUGUGCUCUUCUUUUCUAUCUUUUUCAAUACUGAGAGGUUCCAAAGAAGAAAAAAGGAAAGAGUCUUUAUGGCCUUUUGGGGCUUUUUGCUGGUGCUAUUUUCAGCUCAAGCAUUUGUGGGACUCCCAAGAAUUUUAAGGCAGGGAAUGAUUGCAGUCUAAUGGGAAAAAUUGAAACAUCACUAAACAAGACAACACCAAAAACCAUGUACAAUGGCUUCCUCAUUCUUGCAUUCAAGUUUGUGCACUACCUAAUCUCGAGGGGAUACGACAAGACAUCUUCACCUUAUACAAUGAUCCUGCCAUCUUGGGUGGCAUUUACCCUAUCAGUUUCCUAUAUGUCAGAGUUAUCAUUAAGCUGAGAGUACAAGAGAUAUCAAAGACUGGUUGGUACCUGCAUUCAGAAUAAGUAUUUCCUUACCCUGAUCAUUUCAGAGGCAUCUACGAAGUGACACGUUCAUGGUCAACUACAACUUCAACUGCAGCAUGGAGAGGCUUCUUCAAAAUAAUACCAUUUAUCAGGGAACAUUCAAGAAGAUGAGUCUAAGACUUAGUCAACGUGAAGCCAGGAUAAAGAAAAUAUAAUGAAUAAAGGAGCGUUUGUAAACAAUUGAUACUUUUUCCCAUCAGGAAGAACAUUCCCCAAAAUAUAUCCUAGUUCUGUAAACUUCAAGUAGUAUUUCAAUGAAAAUGCCAUACGUUUUAUUAA